AGAGUUUGAUCCUGGCUCAGGAUGAACGCUGGCGGCGUGCCUAAUACAUGCAAGUCGAGCGAACCGAUUAGAAGCUUGCUUCUAUGACGUUAGCGGCGGACGGGUGAGUAACACGUGGGCAACCUGCCUGUAAGACUGGGAUAACUUCGGGAAACCGAAGCUAAUACCGGAUAGGAUUUUCUCCUUCAUGGGAGAUGAUUGAAAGAUGGUUUCGGCUAUCACUUACAGAUGGGCCCGCGGUGCAUUAGCUAGUUGGUGAGGUAACGGCUCACCAAGGCAACGAUGCAUAGCCGACCUGAGAGGGUGAUCGGCCACACUGGGACUGAGACACGGCCCAGACUCCUACGGGAGGCAGCAGUAGGGAAUCUUCCGCAAUGGACGAAAGUCUGACGGAGCAACGCCGCGUGAGUGAUGAAGGCUUUCGGGUCGUAAAACUCUGUUGUUAGGGAAGAACAAGUACGAGAGUAACUGCUCGUACCUUGACGGUACCUAACCAGAAAGCCACGGCUAACUACGUGCCAGCAGCCGCGGUAAUACGUAGGUGGCAAGCGUUAUCCGGAAUUAUUGGGCGUAAAGCGCGCGCAGGCGGUUUCUUAAGUCUGAUGUGAAAGCCCACGGCUCAACCGUGGAGGG
RNAcentral lists this ribosomal RNA (633 nucleotides) under uncultured marine bacterium. RNAcentral describes it as "bacterial SSU rRNA". It matches the Rfam family "Bacterial small subunit ribosomal RNA", at positions 8 to 622 of the family's 1533-position model. The record is from RNAcentral.